AGAUGACUUAUUUGCAUUUGAUUGUUAUUCCACCAUAAUUAGUGUGUGAUAAUUGAUAUUAAGAUGUCAACUAUUGUUAAAUUAGAUUGAAAUAAAGCUAAACUGUAAUUCGCGCCUUUAACAUUUAACCAGUCACAUUGCGUCUUGUAACUGUUGCUUUACGUUCAAAUCUCAUGUGAAUCUAAGAAUAAACGUUUCUUUUUCAUCUCAAUCUCGUGUCUCCAUUAAAUCUAAUUUAUUAUUAAUGGUGUUUAAAUGGUUGAUAAUAAGAGUUAGUUAACUACUCAAUUCAGUCAAGUGUACAACAAUUAGCCGAGCAAUAGCGAUUUUCCUACAAUUUCUCAAUUUACAAUAUAUAAAAGAAAGUUAACCACCCUUGAUGCUAGCCGGAAGAGGAUUUAAUAAGAAUCACCUUACAAAGCUAAUUGGAUUGAAGCAAAGAGUUGAACAAGCUAUACAAGAGCAUUACGGUGUUUCUACAACGUAACAUGGAUGACCAGUUUAAGAGGGAAAACAAGAGACAUAUUGGAUUACAAAUAACAAGUGGAUUUGGAAAGUGAUUGGGAAAUGAAAUAUAAAAUGGCAGACUAACCGUGAUUAGGAAUAAUUGAUUUUAACAUCAAUUUGAUUUGGUUAACUGAUCUCCUGUUGGUGAUUUACAAAUCGCGUAGCUCUGGUUUUGCGUUUGCCCUUUGUUUUGCUUACAAAGGUGUUAAGGGUUGUGCGUUAAUUUGUCACCAAAAAAGUAUUACCAUAUGAUCAACACUUUACUGAUGAAUUAAACAUUGGAAAUAAUACACUGUUAGUUAGCAGUUGGACGUGAUUUAAUAAUGGUGGAAAUUAACUCAGUGAUGAGAAAAAGAUGACGAACAAUUUGCAGAAAAAAGUGUAUAGAAAAAUGGAUGUAUGGCAAGAAUUGCGUUUUUCGUGUUCUGUUCUGAAUUAACCUGAAGACCGUUUGAACAACAACGAGUGAAUGUUUUAACAAUUUAUAAUGUUAACUUUGAUUAACUUAGGCUCCUCCUGCAAUUAAACAUUAAUAAGAGUCCAUUUAAUUGUAAAAAGAACUGCCCUUUGUGGAUCUCUAUCAGCCAAUCAUAACUUAAUUUAAUAACAACUUUCAUUUUCUUCCCCGCUACAUCGUCUCAACAUCAACUUGUCUUCAACUUCACCAUCUCCUUCCAUUUUGAUACAAUUAAAUUUAAUCAAAGAUCAACACAGUUACAAUCGGUUACAGUGUUAACAUUGUCAUCAAAAUUAAUCAUCACCAUCACCAUCCAUUCAUUUUGUUCCGCAUUUAAGAUUAAUUUUUUAUCAAACACAACCUCAACCAAUUUAUUAAAUAACCAAGUUGAUAUUGGUUAUGAAUUUCAACAAACUCUUCAUAAGAUGGCGAAGGUAAACAUUAUCCUGUCAAUGCUAUAAAUACAACUGUACAAACAAAUGGCACUUUUAUUGUAAUAGCUGCUUGUGACAAUCACAAUAGUUAACACUGAUUUUCAUCAUCUGAUUCCAUCAUAAAGCUUUACAUAAUAUCUUCUAGCAUCAUAUUAAUUAAUCAUUACACCUGGUUAAUAAAUUAAAUUGUCGGUUCGGAUGGGAAAAACACAAUAAAAUUGAGUGACAUUUUAAAGAAGCAAAGGCUUUGGAAUCAAAAUCGAUUGGAUUCGUCAAAUU
Tetranychus urticae (two-spotted spider mite) is the source of this 1677-nucleotide long non-coding RNA. RefSeq lists it as uncharacterized. NCBI's taxonomy places the organism in Eukaryota, Metazoa, Arthropoda, Arachnida, Trombidiformes, Tetranychidae. The record is from RefSeq and is a predicted model, not a curated record.